CAGUCGCCGCGGUAAGACAGAGGAUGCAAGCGUUAUCUGGAAUGAUUGGGCGUAAAGGGUACGUAGGUGGCCUUUUAAGCGUAGGGUAUAAGGCAAUGGCUCAACCAUUGUUCGCCCUAUGAACUGGAAGGCUUGAGUGCAGGAGAGGAAAGCGGAAUUCCUAGUGUAGCGGUGGAAUGCAUAGAUAUCAGGAGGAACAUCAGCGGCGAAGGCGGCUUUCUGGACUGCAACUGACACUGAGGUACGGAAGCGUGGGGAGCAAACAGGAUUAGAUACCCCCGUAGUCCCUGUCUCUUAUACA
This 301-nucleotide ribosomal RNA is filed under the name uncultured bacterium. RNAcentral describes it as "partial 16S ribosomal RNA". It matches the Rfam family "Bacterial small subunit ribosomal RNA", at positions 509 to 808 of the family's 1533-position model. The record is from RNAcentral.